UUAGCCGGGAAUCUGGGGCACACGUUGCGGCCCUGUCCCACUUUCCCGAGUUACUCACGAACUCUCCCGAGAUUUCCCCUUGAUUCAAACUUGGGGACUGUCGGGGAAUGUCGGCAGCGAGCUCGUAGGAGACCAUAGGAGUCUGUAAAUGUUUCAUAGCGGCUCGUAAUGCCAGCCGUAGGUACUCGGGGCAUCAGGUAAGUCGGGAUGUUUUUUCAACAUGUUGAAAAAUGUCCACGA
Molecule: long non-coding RNA, 240 nt
Organism: Amblyraja radiata (thorny skate)
Lineage: Eukaryota; Metazoa; Chordata; Chondrichthyes; Rajiformes; Rajidae
Exons: 5
Source: RefSeq, a predicted model, not a curated record